RNAcentral lists this ribosomal RNA (464 nucleotides) under uncultured bacterium. RNAcentral's name for it is "bacterial SSU rRNA". It matches the Rfam family "Bacterial small subunit ribosomal RNA", at positions 340 to 793 of the family's 1533-position model. The record is from RNAcentral.
UACGGGGAGGCAGCAGUGGGGAAUAUUGCACAAUCGGGGGAAACCCUGAUGCAGCCAUGCCGCGUGUGUGAAGAAGGCCUUCGGGUUGUAAAGCACUUUCAGUAGGGAGGAAGGUAGUGUAGUUAACACCUGCAUUAUUUGACGUUACCUACAGAAGAAGCACCGGCUAACUCCGUGCCAGCAGCCGCGGUAAUACGGAGGGUGCGAGCGUUAAUCGGAAUUACUGGGUGUAAAGCGCAUGCAGGCGGCCUGUUAAGUCAGAUGUGAAAGCCCGGGGCUUAACCUCGGAAUUGCAUUUGAAACUGGCAGGCUAGAGUCUUGUAGAGGGGGGUAGGAAUUUCAGGUGUAGCGGUGAAAUGCGUAGAGAUCUGAAGGAAUACCAGUGGCGAAGGCGGCCCCCUGGACAAAGACUGACGCUCAGAUGCGAAAGCGUGGGGAGCAAACAGGAUUAGAUACCCUGGUAG